Molecule: ribosomal RNA, 350 nt
Filed under: uncultured bacterium
Lineage: Bacteria
Description: bacterial SSU rRNA
Rfam family: Bacterial small subunit ribosomal RNA
Source: RNAcentral
GCAUGGCUGUCGUCAGCUCGUGUUGUGAAAUGUUGGGUUAAGUCCCGCAACGAGCGCAACCCUUAUCCUUUGUUGCCAGCGCGUAAUGGCGGGAACUCAAAGGAGACUGCCGGUGAUAAACCGGAGGAAGGUGGGGAUGACGUCAAGUCAUCAUGGCCCUUACGGCCUGGGCUACACACGUGCUACAAUGGUCGGUACAAAGGGUUGCCAAGCCGCGAGGUGGAGCUAAUCCCAUAAAGCCGAUCGUAGUCCGGAUCGCAGUCUGCAACUCGACUGCGUGAAGUCGGAAUCGCUAGUAAUCGUGAAUCAGAAUGUGACGGUGAAUACGUUCCCGGGUCUUGUACACACGA